GAUUUCAAUUGAAAAAAAUCAUCAACAACAAAGUUGUAUAACUCAUCAAGAUGUAUAACUUUUAUUUUGGUCAUUUCUUCAUCCGAUAAAGUGAUAGUAACAUUGUUUAUAAAAUUUACAUAUCUCUCAUUUGGUUUUAUAAACUAUAAGAGAGAGAUGUAAAUUUUGUGAACAAUAUUACUAUCACUUUGUCGGAUGAAGAAAUGACCAAAAUAAAAGUUGUAUGUCUUGAUGAGUUCUACAACUUUUAUGUUCAUGACUUUUUCAGCUGAAAUU
This 276-nucleotide microRNA precursor is filed under the name Oryza sativa Indica Group (long-grained rice). RNAcentral's name for it is "MIR821 microRNA precursor family". It matches the Rfam family "MIR821 microRNA precursor family". The record is from Rfam by way of RNAcentral. Lineage: Eukaryota; Viridiplantae; Streptophyta; Magnoliopsida; Poales; Poaceae.